RNAcentral lists this microRNA (20 nucleotides) under Gallus gallus (chicken). Its description in RNAcentral is "gga-miR-7479-5p". The record is from miRBase by way of RNAcentral. Lineage: Eukaryota; Metazoa; Chordata; Aves; Galliformes; Phasianidae.
UAGUAAGCAGAGAUUUGCUA